CCUGGAUAGCAGCACUGGGGCACUUGGUCCGGGCAGGAGGGCAUUAGACCCCCCAUGCAUAGCAGUAUGAAAGAAAACCUCCCUAAGGCACUGAGAUCAGGAUGUAAAUCACGUGACUAUGAUGGCUGCAUGCUCCUGUGCUUUGGUAUGAUUGGCCACCAGCAGUGCUGCAUGAAAGGAGAGGAACUGCGUCAGCCCCAUCAAAAGGCCAAGGAGGUGAACAGUCAAUCUGGUGCCAAGCUGCAGACUUGCUGCUUUUAUACAGAGGUGCAUGCCAUACUUGGUGGAAACCCCACCACCACCCUGCACACCACUGUGGAUACCUCUGAGAAGCCUGGGUCACAGGCCCUUGGCAUGAACAGAAAAAGCAAGGAGGAGGUGGAGGAUGAGGAUGAGGGACAUGUGACUGGGGGAUCCAGCUAUGCCAUGAGCCAGGACCUGUUUGUGACUGUACCACAGUCCAGUCCUUCCCAGCAGUUGAGCACAGGAAAGCUCGAUGCAGGACAAGGAACCUCAGCUACUUUUCUCCUUUUGCUUCACAGAUAUUAUGGAGUACCCAGCAUAUAGCCAUAACCAUUGAGAUUUUUUUUCACUCAGAUCCAAUCUUGUGAGUAAAUAACGCCAGUGUCCCUUCAAUCUACCAAAGGCACAUUCAACUGUAAUCCUGCACCUGCUGAGCCAGAAGUUGAAUCUUUCCUUGAUGCUAUUGAGGUGGCUUGUGUAUGGCUUCCUGAGCCAGGGGAGCAAGGGGUAGGCUGGGUUCCCCAUGAUCAUGACUGGCAAUUCAACAUCACCAAUGGUGAUCCGCUGGUUGGGCAAGAAAGUCCCUGCUUGUAGCUUUCUUAACAGUCCUGUGUUCUUAAAGAUACAAGGAUCAUGCACCUUCCCUGACCAGCCAACACUAAUAUUGAUCAACCAUCCCUGGUGAUCCACCAGCACUUGCAUAACCAUAGGAAAGUAGGCUUUUCUGUUGAUGUACUCCAUGGCAUGGUGGUCUGGUGCCAAAAUAGAGAUAUGCUUGCUGUCUAUUGCUCCAGCACAGUUUGGAAACCCCAUUGCUGCAAAUUUAUCCACUAUGUCCUGCACAUUGCCAAUAGUUACAGUCCUGCAUAGCAGGAGACAAUCAAUGGCCCUGCACACUUGCAUGAUCCCACAAUGGAUUUUCCAACUUCGAAAUGUAUUUUCCACUGACCAGUAGCAGUCCAGCAUUGCAAGUUUCCAUAGUGUGAUCAGCACUCACUUCUCCACUGUGAGUGCAGCUCUUGUCCCUGCAGUGGAAGACUAGGGCAAUCUCAGCACACAGAUCCAGGGAUGUGGCCUUGUGCAUGUAGAACUGAUUAAUUAAAUUGUUUUUAAUUGUUUACUUUAUUAAUGUAACUUAAUAAGUAACUUUUUAUGAAUUAAACAACAUUCAUUCAUAAAACUGGUUAUCCCAAUAACUGGCUAAUUGACAAUUAAGAUGCUUGUUAAGAGCCACAGCCUUCAGCCAGUUGCCCUUGUAAAUUUCACUGUCAGUCCCAUUCCUGCUUAAAUCACUGAGACUUGCACUGUUUCAGUACUGUAACUU
RNAcentral lists this long non-coding RNA (1567 nucleotides) under Gopherus agassizii (Agassiz's desert tortoise). RNAcentral's name for it is "lncRNA (ENSGAGG00000015832.1)". Lineage: Eukaryota; Metazoa; Chordata; Testudines; Testudinidae. The record is from RNAcentral.